CCUGCCUCUAAUGGCACCCACCAUUAAGUCGGAUCUCAGCAACCAUCUGCGUGGCAGGAGCUAUCACACUGGAGCCUCGCAGUAGCCAAGGAGAGACGCCAAUGAGGGAAUCAUUUUUCCACUUGGUGAAAUACAUUUUUGCCCCGUGAAAGCACGAGGAGGGCCUGUCUUGGAUAGGUGGAGUGGUCCUAGGUCCUACUAGAUGGAAACCUCAGGACUCGGAAGAGGUUCACCUUCGGAGCGAGUCCCCCUAAGGGGCUGGCCAGCCUCACGCCAGCUGCCUUCUUCUCAUGACAUGUGGUGUCCUCACAGCCAGCCGUAGGAUCUGCAUUGAGUUCAGCAAGCGGAGGCGACUUCCCCAGGGCCACACAGCCAUGGAGGGCUGCGGCUCAGUUGCUGACUGCUCCAGCUCACCCUCACGUCCAUGAGGUUUCUGCUCCAAAAUGCUAUUGCUAAGAAAAAUGUUCCAAACACGACCCAUUGGCUGACCACAGGUCUUCAUUAUAAAAGCAUCUGAAGGAGUUGCUGAAGGGGAUGUCCUGUUGGCUGGACCCUGUCGUGCUGGUUAUAUGUAAACUGGCUGAACUACCCAGUUCUUAAACUGUCACAUGUGAGUCCUUCCUUCCAAGGUCAGAGGCUCCUAUCCUUCAAGGGUUCAGGGCUCGUGGUGGGCUCAGCGGGAUCACAAACAUUGGCAUGGCCAGCCCAGUCUGGGGAAGCUGCAAGGGCCUGGGGGGUUGUGGCCUUGGGCAUCACAGCAUCAGACUUGGGGAGCCUGGUGACGAGAGCCUGUCUGAGAAAUGUGACUUGUUUCCAGGAGCAGUGGGAGCCCCUUCCCUCCCUGAUGAAGGGGGAGUGGCAGUUCCCUCCCUGAUGAAGGGAGAGCGGUGGGCACAUGGAUGACGCUGCCCCAAAUCGCUCCCCUAACCUUCCCAAAUGACGCCCCAGCCACUGUGGCUGCUGCUUUGAGAACGGACAGGAGCCUGGGGAGAAGCAGAAGGAAUGCAGAUACCGAAUUGUACAUUUUGUUUCACCGGCUGCCGUCAGCUGCUCGGCUUCCUCCCCUCAGGGCAGUGCUAUUUAACACUCUCUCUUCGAAUCUCGCCUUCCUGCCUCCCCCGUCUGCAGCCUCCCCUGCACUGCGCACCCGCUCACUCUCCCCUUCCCCCAGGAGAACACAUUCUGGCAGACAGAAGUUCAAAUGAGAAGUUAAAACGCUUUGAGGCAGCAGGCAGAGUGUCAGCAGAGCCGGUGGAAACCGCAGCCUUGGGGGCAACACGUGGACCCUGCUUGGGGAUAAAGCAGGACAGACAGAAGGAGCAGGACAGACAGGAGGAGUAGGACAGACAGGAGGAGCAGGACGGA
RNAcentral lists this long non-coding RNA (1365 nucleotides) under Homo sapiens (human). RNAcentral describes it as "HSALNT0406635". The record is from RNAcentral. Lineage: Eukaryota; Metazoa; Chordata; Mammalia; Primates; Hominidae.